UGUAAUCGCCUUAUUAUUAACUUGGACAACCUAGAGGUGAUUGAUACCAUGAAGAACGAAGGACAGUCGGCGGGUGCGGCGACGGCAAUUUUCGACGAUUGUUUUCAUUAUGCUUGUGACUUCGUUGCUACUAGAUUCGAACACUGUAACAGAGAAGCAAAGAAAGUAGCUCAUGAGCUUGCGAGUUUAGCUAGAUUUAUGUUGAUUUUUUUUGAGAAACAAGAGUUACAAACUCAAGUAACGGGGUAG
This 249-nucleotide ribosomal RNA is filed under the name Triticum aestivum (bread wheat). RNAcentral describes it as "partial small subunit ribosomal RNA". The record is from RNAcentral. Lineage: Eukaryota; Viridiplantae; Streptophyta; Magnoliopsida; Poales; Poaceae.